UACGAGGGGGGCUAGCGUUGUUCGGAAUUACUGGGCGUAAAGAGCUCGUAGGUGGUUUGUCGCGUUGUUCGUGAAAACUCACAGCUUAACUGUGGGCGUGCGGGCGAUACGGGCAGACUGGAGUACUGCAGGGGAGACUGGAAUUCCUGGUGUAGCGGUGGAAUGCGCAGAUAUCAGGAGGAACACCGGUGGCGAAGGCGGGUCUCUGGGCAGUAACUGACGCUGAGGAGCGAAAGCGUGGGGAGCGAACAGG
RNAcentral lists this ribosomal RNA (253 nucleotides) under uncultured bacterium. RNAcentral's name for it is "partial 16S ribosomal RNA". It matches the Rfam family "Bacterial small subunit ribosomal RNA", at positions 524 to 776 of the family's 1533-position model. The record is from RNAcentral.